This 292-nucleotide ribosomal RNA is filed under the name uncultured bacterium. RNAcentral describes it as "partial 16S ribosomal RNA". It matches the Rfam family "Bacterial small subunit ribosomal RNA", at positions 505 to 796 of the family's 1533-position model. The record is from RNAcentral.
GUGUCAGCCGCCGCGGUAAUACGAAGGGUGCAAGCGUUAAUCGGAAUUACUGGGCGUAAAGCGUGCGUAGGCGGUUUGUUAAGUCAGAUGUGAAAGCCCCGGGCUCAACCUGGGAACUGCAUUUGAUACUGGCAGGCUAGAGUACGGUAGAGGGUGGUGGAAUUCCCGGUGUAGCGGUGAAAUGCGUAGAGAUCGGGAGGAACAUCCGUGGCGAAGGCGGCCACCUGGACCAGUACUGACGCUGAGGCACGAAAGCGUGGGGAGCAAACAGGAUUAGAUACCCUGGUAGUCC